Molecule: non-coding RNA, 68 nt
Organism: Peptoniphilus grossensis
Lineage: Bacteria; Bacillati; Bacillota; Tissierellia; Tissierellales; Peptoniphilaceae
Source: Rfam
ACAUUGAUGUAACCGCACAGAAUAGGUUUUAAACUAGAGUGCCUAUAAUGGCGAGUCUUGUAAUGAGG